Daphnia pulicaria is the source of this 710-nucleotide long non-coding RNA. RefSeq lists it as uncharacterized. Lineage: Eukaryota; Metazoa; Arthropoda; Branchiopoda; Diplostraca; Daphniidae. The transcript is spliced from 4 exons. The record is from RefSeq and is a predicted model, not a curated record.
CAUUUGAUUUAUUGCCAAAUCUGUUGAAUAAUUUUUUCAACUGUAUUUUAAUAUUUCUUAAAUGUAUUUUCUUUGUGAGGUUUCUUUUCUGUGGGAUUAUGCAUUUAAUCCUUUUUUUGUCCGUAGGUUUACCACAUUAGAUUAUAAUCUAUGGAGCCAGUCAGAUGAUGUGUAAAGUGUGUGUUGCUGUUCAAUGUGCAGGAUAUCUGUCACCACUCACACUGACGAGGAAGAAAACAUAACAUCAACCAAUUGUAGUUUGGCUGGGUAUUCGACAAGGAAAUCGAGAUUGACUUGACUUAAGUACAUCCCCGGAGAACUUCGUUCUCGUUUGCGCUCGUUUGAGAACAAAACACAAAGCAGUAUUCGUCGCAGAAAAAUUUAAGAUCAUUUAUAAAUGCUUAAUAAUUUUGCUUCUGUUUUUAGUCUUCCAGUGAAAUAGACGACGAUAGUUCAAUUGUUAUCUGGAAUCCAAUGGAACAGGACUUAACAAAAAAAAUAAACAGAUUCCAUUUGUCAUGGUUGUCCACCCGUUCAUCUGCGGAUGGUGAUUCCCAGUGGCCGUUGUUGAUAAAAAUAAGGUGCAGUGGUCAUCGGUAAAUUAUUUUGGUGGAGUCUUCGUUAAUUCAGCGUCCGCAAAUUUCAUAUUCAAGAUAAGUUGUGUUAUUCUAGCUUUAUACUUUUCAACUUAGUGGCCAAUAUUUGUAGCA